AUUCCAACAGUUAAAUAUCCCAGUGACUCGGCUUAAUCCAGGAUACUGAUCAUUCUUUAUGAAGACUGACAAUGUUGUCCAGAGAUGCAUACGGUGUGGCCCAUGUUGGGCUGCUGGCCUGACAGCGGGUUGGAUGUACUGACGUGAAUUCCUGAAGGCCCAUUACAGAUGAAACCACAGCGAGAGCAAUACGGGGACUCCAAAUUCUCACUCUGACGUUUCAGUCCAUCACCUGACCAAUGAACACGGCUGGCGUGCCUACUGCACAGAAGGCACUAGAUUUUGUGCUGUAGAAAAUGUGGAGCCAAGAUACAAGCAGUUUACAUUGUUGAAAAGAAAAGGAAGCACAUGGCAUGCAAGGCAAGAGAAGUGAAAAAUGAACAGU
Long non-coding RNA from Eptesicus fuscus (big brown bat), 385 nucleotides. RefSeq lists it as uncharacterized. The transcript is spliced from 3 exons. The record is from RefSeq and is a predicted model, not a curated record. NCBI's taxonomy places the organism in Eukaryota, Metazoa, Chordata, Mammalia, Chiroptera, Vespertilionidae.